GUUGCCUGGAAUUAUUAUUGAAGAAUUUCGAUUAACUUUGUGUUCAAUGCAAAAUUGAAGUUUCACAUCAGAACAUCAAAAAAACAAUAAUUAAAUUUACAAAAAAUAAAUAAUAAAAAUUUAACGAAAAAUAGACUAUAAGCUAAACAAGAACUAAAAACGCUGACCUUCAACAUCUGCCGUCCAGCCGAGCGCUAUACCGGGGCUGCCAAUAAGCUGAUCACGUACAGAGACCGAGAGAUUUGGUGCAAUACCGUAAGUUCAAUAUGAAUGAUACCGAAGCUGAAAUCAAAACUGAGGUCAAGGAAGAGAAACCCACUUUGAUGACGAAGCUGACGAAUUCCAUUACAUCACUAACCAAUAGAGAUGGUCGAUUUCAAAUGAGCGAAAGCAAUUGGUCGCUUUUAAAGUGCACGCUCGUCUUUCUGUUCGGUGUUGUCUUGACCAAGAAAAUGCAGAAGGUGGUCAAUGAAAUUAUGUGAAGUUGCCUUGUAAUGCGUGCGAACAUGAAAUACAGAUAAUUGUCCAACUGAAA
Zeugodacus cucurbitae (melon fly) is the source of this 535-nucleotide long non-coding RNA. RefSeq lists it as uncharacterized. The transcript has 2 exons. The record is from RefSeq and is a predicted model, not a curated record. NCBI's taxonomy places the organism in Eukaryota, Metazoa, Arthropoda, Insecta, Diptera, Tephritidae.